This 222-nucleotide ribosomal RNA is filed under the name uncultured bacterium. Its description in RNAcentral is "partial 16S ribosomal RNA". It matches the Rfam family "Bacterial small subunit ribosomal RNA", at positions 1279 to 1500 of the family's 1533-position model. The record is from RNAcentral.
UAACCAUCCCACGUUCGGAUUGCAGUCUGCAACUCGACUGCAUGAAGCUGGAAUCGCUAGUAAUCGCGGAUCAGAAUGCCGCGGUGAAUACGUUCCCGGGUCUUGUACACACCGCCCGUCACACCAUGGGAGUCGGAUAUGCCCGAAGUCAGUGACCCAACCGCAAGGAGGGAGCUGCCGAAGGUGGAGCCGAUGACUGGGGUGAAGUCGUAACAAGGUAGC